GAUGAAGAACGCAGCGAAAUGCGAAAAGUAGUGUGAAUUGCAGAAUUCAGUGAAUCAUCGAAUCUUUGAACGCACAUUGCGCCCGCCAGUAUUCUGGCGGGCAUGCCUGUUCGAGCGUCAUUACAACCCUCAGGCCCCCGGGCCUGGCGUUGGGGAUCGGCGGAGCCCCCCGUGGGCACACGCCGUCCCCCAAAUGCAGUGGCGGUCCCGCCGCAGCUUCCAUCGCGUAGUAGCUAACACCUCGCGACUGGAGAGCGGCGCGGCCACGCCGUAAAACACCCAACUCUUCUGAAGUUGACCUCGAAUCAGGUAGGAAUACCCGCUGAACUUAAGCAUAUCAAUAAGCGGAGGA
This 352-nucleotide unclassified non-coding RNA is filed under the name soil metagenome. RNAcentral's name for it is "partial contains 5.8S ribosomal RNA, internal transcribed spacer 2, and large subunit ribosomal RNA". The stretch from base 1 to 120 matches the Rfam family "5.8S ribosomal RNA", at positions 35 to 154 of the family's 154-position model. The record is from RNAcentral.